UAAAAUCUUAAGUUAAUUAAAAACUAUUAGCCUUCAAAGUUGAAAUUGAAAAUAUCAGAUUUU
This 63-nucleotide transfer RNA is filed under the name Heteropsylla cubana. RNAcentral's name for it is "tRNA-Trp". Lineage: Eukaryota; Metazoa; Arthropoda; Insecta; Hemiptera; Psyllidae. The record is from RNAcentral.